RNAcentral lists this ribosomal RNA (347 nucleotides) under uncultured archaeon. Its description in RNAcentral is "bacterial SSU rRNA". It matches the Rfam family "Archaeal small subunit ribosomal RNA", at positions 1 to 354 of the family's 1478-position model. The record is from RNAcentral.
UUCCGGUUGAUCCCGCCGGACCCGACUGCUAUCAGAGUGGGACUAAGCCAUGCGAGUCAACGCCGUAAGGCGUGGCAUACGGCUCAGUAACACGUAGUCAACAUGCCCAAAGGAUGUGGAUAACCUCGGGAAACUGAGGAUAAGCCGCGAUAGGCCAAGGUUUCUGGAAUGAGCCAUGGCCGAAAUCUAUAUGGCCUUUGGAUUGGACUGCGGCCGAUCAGGCUGUUGGUGAGGUAAUGGCCCACCAAACCUGUAGCCGGUACGGGCUUUGAGAGAAGGAGCCCGGAGAUGGGCACUGAGACAAGGGCCCAAGCCCUAUGGGGCGCAGCAGGCGCGAAACCUCUGCA